UCGAGAAUUUUUCACAAUGGGCGAAAGCCUGAUGGAGCGACGCCGCGUGGGGGAUGAAGGGCUUCGGCCCGUAAACCCCUGUCAUUUGCGAACAAACCUUGUUUGUUAACACCAGACAAGCUGAUUGUAGCGAAAGAGGAAGGGACGGCUAACUCUGUGCCAGCAGCCGCGGUAAUACAGAGGUCCCAAGCGUUGUUCGGAUUCACUGGGCGUAAAGGGUGCGUAGGUGGCUGGGUAAGUCUGAUGUGAAAUCUCCGAGCUUAACUCGGAAACUGCAUUGGAUACUGCUCGGCUUGAGGGUUGGAGGGAGGACUGGAAUACUUGGUGUAGCAGUGAAAUGCGUAGAUAUCAAGUGGAACACCAGUGGCGAAGGCGAGUCCUUGGACAACUCCUGACACUGAGGCACGAAAGCUAGGGGAGCAAACAGGAUUAGAUACCCCGGUAGUCC
Molecule: ribosomal RNA, 448 nt
Filed under: uncultured bacterium
Lineage: Bacteria
Description: bacterial SSU rRNA
Rfam family: Bacterial small subunit ribosomal RNA
Source: RNAcentral